GCGCCUGUAGCUCAGUGGAUAGAGCACUGGUCUUCGGAACCAGGUGUCAGGGGUUCGAAUCCCUUCAGGCGUA
Molecule: transfer RNA, 73 nt
Filed under: Caldilineaceae bacterium
Lineage: Bacteria; Bacillati; Chloroflexota; Caldilineae; Caldilineales; Caldilineaceae
Description: tRNA-Arg
Rfam family: tRNA
About the family: Transfer RNA (tRNA) molecules are approximately 80 nucleotides in length. Their secondary structure includes four short double-helical elements and three loops (D, anti-codon, and T loops). Further hydrogen bonds mediate the characteristic L-shaped molecular structure. tRNAs have two regions of fundamental functional importance: the anti-codon, which is responsible for specific mRNA codon recognition, and the 3' end, to which the tRNAs corresponding amino acid is attached (by aminoacyl-tRNA synthetases). tRNAs cope with the degeneracy of the genetic code in two manners: having more than one tRNA (with a specific anti-codon) for a particular amino acid; and 'wobble' base-pairing, i.e. permitting non-standard base-pairing at the 3rd anti-codon position.
Source: RNAcentral